Molecule: ribosomal RNA, 795 nt
Filed under: Leuconostoc citreum
Lineage: Bacteria; Bacillati; Bacillota; Bacilli; Lactobacillales; Lactobacillaceae
Description: bacterial SSU rRNA
Rfam family: Bacterial small subunit ribosomal RNA
Source: RNAcentral
UAAUACCGAAUAAAACUUAGUUAUCGCAUGGAUACAAAGUUAAAAGGCGCUACGGCGUCACCUAGAGAUGGAUCCGCGGUGCAUUAGUUAUUUGGUGGGGUAAAGGCUUACCAAGACAAUGAUGCAUAGCCGAGUUGAGAGACUGAUCGGCCACAUUGGGACUGAGACACGGCCCAAACUCCUACGGGAGGCUGCAGUAGGGAAUCUUCCACAAUGGGCGCAAGCCUGAUGGAGCAACGCCGCGUGUGUGAUGAAUGCUUUCGGGUCGUAAAGCACUGUUGUAUGGGAAGAAAUGCUAAAAUAGGGAAUGAUUUUAGUUUGACGGUACCAUACCAGAAAGGGACGGCUAAAUACGUGCCAGCAGCCGCGGUAAUACGUAUGUCCCGAGCGUUAUCCGGAUUUAUUGGGCGUAAAGCGAGCGCAGACGGUUGAUUAAGUCUGAUGUGAAAGCCCGGAGCUCAACUCCGGAAUGGCAUUGGAAACUGGUUAACUUGAGUGUUGUAGAGGUAAGUGGAACUCCAUGUGUACCGGUGGAAUGCGUAGAUAUAUGGAAGAACACCAGUGGCGAAGGCGGCUUACUGGACAACAACUGACGUUGAGGCUCGAAAGUGUGGGUAGCAAACAGGAAUUAGAUACCCCUGGUAAGUCCCCCACCGGUAAACGAUGAAUACUAGGUGUUAGGAAGUUUCCGCCUCUUAGUGCCGAAGCCUAAACCGCAUUUAAAGUAUUUCCCCCCUUGGGGGAAGUACGAACCCGCAAAGGGUUGAAAACCUCCAAAACGGAAUUUGAACGGGG